AGUGAACGCUGGCGGUAGGCCUAACACAUGCAAGUCGAACGGCAGCACAGAGGAGCUUGCUCCUUGGGUGGCGAGUGGCGGACGGGUGAGGAGUACAUCGGAAUCUACUCUGUCGUGGGGGAUAACGUAGGGAAACUUACGCUAAUACCGCAUACGACCUACGGGUGAAAGCAGGGGAUCUUCGGACCUUGCGCGAUUGAAUGAGCCGAUGUCGGAUUAGCUAGUUGGCGGGGUAAAGGCCCACCAAGGCGACGAUCCGUAGCUGGUCUGAGAGACUGAUCCACCACACUGGAACUGAGACACGGUCCAGACUCCUACGGGAGGCAGCAGUGGGGAAUAUUGGACAAUGGGCGCAAGCCUGAUCCAGCCAUACCGCGUGGGUGAAGAAGGCCUUCGGGUUGUAAAGCCCUUUUGUUGGGAAAGAAAUCCAGCUGGUUAAUACCCGGUUGGGAUGACGGUACCCAAAGAAUAAGCACCGGCUAACUUCGUGCCAGCAGCCGCGGUAA
This 506-nucleotide ribosomal RNA is filed under the name uncultured bacterium. Its description in RNAcentral is "partial 16S ribosomal RNA". It matches the Rfam family "Bacterial small subunit ribosomal RNA", at positions 29 to 523 of the family's 1533-position model. The record is from RNAcentral.